Molecule: ribosomal RNA, 491 nt
Filed under: uncultured bacterium
Lineage: Bacteria
Description: partial 16S ribosomal RNA
Rfam family: Bacterial small subunit ribosomal RNA
Source: RNAcentral
AGUGAACGCUGGCGGUAGGCCUAACACAUGCAAGUCGAACGGCAGCACAGUAAGAGCUUGCUCUUACGGGUGGCGAGUGGCGGACGGGUGAGGAAUACAUCGGAAUCUACUCUUUCGUGGGGGAUAACGUAGGGAAACUUACGCUAAUACCGCAUACGACCUACGGGUGAAAGCAGGGGAUCUUCGGACCUUGCGCGAUUGAAUGAGCCGAUGUCGGAUUAGCUAGUUGGCGGGGUAACGGCCCACCAUGGCGGUGAUCGGUAGCUGGUCUGAGUGGGUGGUGCGCCACAGUGGAGCUGAGAGACGGCACAGGGUCCUACGGGAGGCAGCGGUGGGGAAUAGUGGACAGAGGGCGGAAGCCUGAUCCAGCCAUGCCGCGUGGGUGAAGAAGGCCUUCGUGUGGUAAAGCCGUUUUGUUGGGAAAGAAAGGCAGCAGGUUAAUACCCCGCUGUUCUGACGGUACCGAAAGAAUAAGCACCGGCUAACUUCGU